Molecule: ribosomal RNA, 253 nt
Filed under: uncultured bacterium
Lineage: Bacteria
Description: partial 16S ribosomal RNA
Rfam family: Bacterial small subunit ribosomal RNA
Source: RNAcentral
UACGUAGGCAGCGAGCGUUGUUCGGAGUUACUGGGCGUAAAGGGUGUGUAGGCGGUUCUUUAAGUUUGGGGUGAAAUCUCCCGGCUCAACCGGGAGGGUGCGCCGAAUACUGAGGGACUCGAGUGCGGGAGAGGAAAGUGGAAUUCCUGGUGUAGCGGUGAAAUGCGUAGAUAUCAGGAGGAACACCGGUGGUGUAGACGGCUUUCUGGACCGUAACUGACGCUGAGACACGAAAGCGUGGGUAGCAAACAGG